This 844-nucleotide ribosomal RNA is filed under the name uncultured Bacillota bacterium. Its description in RNAcentral is "bacterial SSU rRNA". It matches the Rfam family "Bacterial small subunit ribosomal RNA", at positions 28 to 897 of the family's 1533-position model. Lineage: Bacteria; Bacillati; Bacillota. The record is from RNAcentral.
GACGAACGCUGGCGGCGUGCCUAACACAUGCAAGUCGAGCGGGGGACUUCGGUCCCUAGCGGCGGACGGGUGAGUAACACGUGAGCAACCUGCCUCAUAGAGGGGGAUAGCCUCCCGAAAGGGAGAUUAAUACCGCAUAUACUCUUGGUAUCACAUGAUACUUAGAGGAAAGGAGAAAUCCGCUAUGAGAUGGGCUCGCGGCGCAUUAGCUAGUUGGUGAGGUAACGGCUCACCAAGGCCACGAUGCGUAGCCGACCUGAGAGGGUGAUCGGCCACAUUGGAACUGAGACACGGUCCAGACUCCUACGGGAGGCAGCAGUGGGGAAUAUUGCACAAUGGGCGAAAGCCUGAUGCAGCAACGCCGCGUGAGUGAAGAAGGCCUUCGGGUUGUAAAGCUCUGUCUUUUGGGACGAUAAUGACGGUACCAAAGGAGGAAGCCACGGCUAACUACGUGCCAGCAGCCGCGGUAAUACGUAGGUGGCAAGCGUUGUCCGGAUUUACUGGGCGUAAAGGAUGCGUAGGUGGAUAUUUAAGUGGGAUGUGAAAUACCCGGGCUUAACCUGGGUGCUGCAUUCCAAACUGGAUGUCUUGAGUGCAGGAGAGGUAAGUGGAAUUCCUAGUGUAGCGGUGAAAUGCGUAGAGAUUAGGAAGAACACCAGUGGCGAAGGCGACUUACUGGACUGUAACUGACACUGAGGCAUGAAAGCGUGGGGAGCAAACAGGAUUAGAUACCCUGGUAGUCCACGCCGUAAACGAUGGGUACUAGGUGUGGGGGUUGUCAUGACUUCCGUGCCGCCGUUAACACAAUAAGUACCCCGCCUGGGGAGUACGGUCGCAAGAUUAA